GGCGUCGGGUGCAGUGGUUCAGCACGCGCUCCCGGAAAGAGUGAGAUCUGGGAUCAAAUCCUAGCUGACGCUA
Non-coding RNA from Parelaphostrongylus tenuis, 73 nucleotides. The record is from the annotation of a GenBank genome assembly. NCBI's taxonomy places the organism in Eukaryota, Metazoa, Nematoda, Chromadorea, Rhabditida, Metastrongylidae.